RNAcentral lists this ribosomal RNA (550 nucleotides) under uncultured bacterium. RNAcentral's name for it is "bacterial LSU rRNA". It matches the Rfam family "Bacterial large subunit ribosomal RNA", at positions 569 to 1156 of the family's 2925-position model. The record is from RNAcentral.
AAUGCACACAGCAGUUGAUGUGGUAUAAUAUCAACGUACCUUUUGCAUAAUGUUCUAGCUAGUUUAUUAAAAUAGCGAGCUUAUAAAAAAAUUAAGCGUAUUGAAAAAAUGAUAGUUAUUUUAAUAAGACCCGAAGCUAAGCGAUCUAAUUAUGGACAGGCUAAAAUAAAAAUUUGAGGGCCGAACCUGUGAAUGUUGCAAAAUUCUAGGAGGAUCUGUAAUUAGGGGUGAAAGGCUAAUCAAGCUUAGUGAUAGCUGGUUUUCCGCGAAACCUAUGGACGUAGGGGUUAUUUUUAGGUAGUGUGGUAAAGAAAACUUAUGGGGAUUUUAUCAAAAAAACCUAUUUGAACCUUAUAAUACAUUAUUUUAAAUAAUAAUACUCAGACUAAUGGCGCAAAGGUCUUUAGUCAAGAGGGAAACAGCCCUGAUUAUAUGCUAAGGUGUGUAAUUACUGCUAAUUAAAAAGAAUUGAUUAUAAACAUCCUAAUCCUAGGUGGGCUUGGAAGCAGCCAUCCUUUAAAGAAAGUGUAACAACUCAUGAUUAGGGGAG